GUGCGAAUGCUGACAUAAGUAACGAUAAAGCGGGUGAAAAGCCCGCUCGCCGGAAGACCAAGGGUUCCUGUCCAACGUUAAUCGGGGCAGGGUGAGUCGACCCCUAAGGCGAGGCCGAAAGGCGUAGUCGAUGGGAAACAGGUUAAUAUUCCUGUACUUGGUGUUACUGCGAAGGGGGGACGGAGAAGGCUAUGUUGGCCGGGCGACGGUUGUCCCGGUUUAAGCGUGUAGGCUGGUUUUCCAGGCAAAUCCGGAAAAUCAAGGCUGAGGCGUGAUGACGAGGCACUACGGUGCUGAAGCAACAAAUGCCCUGCUUCCAGGAAAAGCCUCUAAGCAUCAGGUAACAUCAAAUCGUACCCCAAACCGACACAGGUGGUCAGGUAGAGAAUACCAAGGCGCUUGAGAGAACUCGGGUGAAGGAACUAGGCAAAAUGGUGCCGUAACUUCGGGAGAAGGCACGCUGAUAUGUAGGUGAAGUCCCUCGCGGAUGGAGCUGAAAUCAGUCGAAGAUACCAGCUGGCUGCAACUGUUUAUUAAAAACACAGCACUGUGCAAACACGAAAGUGGACGUAUACGGUGUGACGCCUGCCCGGUGC
This 596-nucleotide ribosomal RNA is filed under the name Escherichia coli. RNAcentral's name for it is "partial 23S ribosomal RNA". It matches the Rfam family "Bacterial large subunit ribosomal RNA", at positions 1288 to 1869 of the family's 2925-position model. Lineage: Bacteria; Pseudomonadati; Pseudomonadota; Gammaproteobacteria; Enterobacterales; Enterobacteriaceae. The record is from RNAcentral.